This 74-nucleotide transfer RNA is filed under the name Triticum urartu. It matches the Rfam family "tRNA". Rfam says of the family: Transfer RNA (tRNA) molecules are approximately 80 nucleotides in length. Their secondary structure includes four short double-helical elements and three loops (D, anti-codon, and T loops). Lineage: Eukaryota; Viridiplantae; Streptophyta; Magnoliopsida; Poales; Poaceae. The record is from Rfam by way of RNAcentral.
UCCUCAAUAGCUCAGUUCGAUAGAGCGAUCGACUAUUAACUGAUUGGUCGUAGGUUCGAAUCCUAAUUGGGGAG